Long non-coding RNA from Lineus longissimus, 621 nucleotides. RefSeq lists it as uncharacterized. NCBI's taxonomy places the organism in Eukaryota, Metazoa, Nemertea, Pilidiophora, Heteronemertea, Lineidae. The record is from RefSeq and is a predicted model, not a curated record. The transcript has 3 exons.
UCACGUGUGUAUAUAAAAGCGACCAGGAGAGUGUAACGAUUUAUGACAUUGACAAAUAAAAAUUCCUCACCACUCUUAUUUUAUCACCAAAAUAUCGUUUUCAGACGCAUGGAUCGCGGUGUUUCAGCCACGAGGAACGCCAGAAAUAAACUUAGAAGUUUCCCAACGUAUUUAGCUGAGUGUCAGCCCCAGAUCACAGGAUAUGCCAGGUGCGUUGUGACAAAGUCAAGUGAUGUGCAGAAGCACGAAUGCGGGAAAGAGUUUGAAGCUCUGAAGAACUGUUUCGGGGAAGCCAUGAAAAAGGCCAAACCAAGAUGAUAGAGGGACAGGGAACAGGAUGCUAGGAUAUGUCUGAUGGAAUAUUCGAGACAGAGACAGAAAUGUUUGGACAUUUGAAAGAUAUUCUUGCUGGAUUUGUCUCGGUGAUGUGUCCCACAUGUGAAUGACCAAUCAAAUGAACAUUUCACGUUUUGGACAGUUCUGAAACGGAUGGCGAGAAUAAGAAAGAGUCUCCUAGAUCUCUGUUCUCCGUCUUUAAUGAUGUCAGGAGGGGAACAGGAGGUUACCUGAUCAGAUCUUAGCAGCCUUCAGAGAAUCGCCCCGAGACGAUUGCAUCAGGGC